RNAcentral lists this ribosomal RNA (254 nucleotides) under uncultured bacterium. Its description in RNAcentral is "partial small subunit ribosomal RNA". It matches the Rfam family "Bacterial small subunit ribosomal RNA", at positions 26 to 285 of the family's 1533-position model. The record is from RNAcentral.
AGGACGAACGCUGGCGGCGUGCUUAACACAUGCAAGUCGAGCGGAAAGGCCCUUCGGGGUACUCGAGCGGCGAACGGGUGAGUAACACGUGAGUAAUCUGCCCCUAGCUCUGGGGAUAGCUCCGGGAAACCGGGAUUAAUACCGGAUACGACCACCUUAGACAUCUUUUGUGGUGGAAAGAAUUUCGGCUAGGGAUGAGCUCGCGGCCUAUCAGCUUGUUGGUGGGGUAACGCCUACCAAGGCGACGACGGGUA